Molecule: ribosomal RNA, 429 nt
Filed under: Fusobacteriota bacterium
Lineage: Bacteria; Fusobacteriati; Fusobacteriota
Description: Fusobacteria bacterium partial 16S ribosomal RNA
Rfam family: Bacterial small subunit ribosomal RNA
Source: RNAcentral
UGGGGAAUCUUCCGCAAUGGACGAAAGUCUGACGGAGCAACGCCGCGUGAGUGAAGACGGCCUUCGGGUUGUAAAGCUCUGUGAUCCGGGACGAAAGAGCCUGAGGUGAAUAGCCUAAGGAAGUGACGGUACCGGAAAAGCAAGCCACGGCUAACUACGUGCCAGCAGCCGCGGUAAUACGUAGGUGGCAAGCGUUGUCCGGAAUUAUUGGGCGUAAAGCGCGCGCAGGCGGCUUCCUAAGUCCAUCUUAAAAGUGCGGGGCUUAACCCCGUGAUGGGAUGGAAACUGGGAAGCUGGAGUAUCGGAGAGGAAAGUGGAAUUCCUAGUGUAGCGGUGAAAUGCGUAGAGAUUAGGAAGAACACCGGUGGCGAAGGCGACGUUCUGGACGAAAACUGACGCUGAGGCGCGAAAGCGUGGGGAGCAAACAGG